Molecule: long non-coding RNA, 461 nt
Filed under: Durio zibethinus
Lineage: Eukaryota; Viridiplantae; Streptophyta; Magnoliopsida; Malvales; Malvaceae
Description: long non-coding RNA (DZIB_LNC001444)
Source: RNAcentral
CUCUGGAGAUGCAGCGCGGGUCAGCCCCUGCUUGGAAGAGAUUGAGUUGGUGGUUCGGAAAGGACUGAUUCCCUGGAAACGGAGUCUCUAUUGGAAGGAAUCUGGGAUCGAAUGCCGGUGGGUCCGGUCAGGGGCCAGCUGGAGGGAGAGGAAAAAAUAGCUAGGAGAAAGAUCAGAGGAUGGCGCUAUGGUGAGGGAGGGUGGUCGUGGUGGUCGUCGGCGUGCUAACGGUGGUGGAGUCGGGUGGCCCCCAGCCGUCGGGGUUAAAUGGGACUGCGCCGACUUCAAAAACCCCAACCAUUGUUCGAUGGAUCUACGGUGGAUUUUGCCGUACUAACAGUAGUCGGGUUUUACUGUUUGAGGGAAGGGGAAAGAAAGGGACAACCCCGGAAAACGCCCUUUUAUACUGUAUUAAAUGAAUGGUUUGCCUUCAGUGUUUGGGCUUUUUGUCUUGAUUGUAG